UUUAGCUGUAUCGGUGGAGCCAGUAAAACAUGGACAGCUGUAAUGAGGUUGGCUAGAUUAAGUAUUAUCUGUUCCCUCCAGGGCAGGAACUCAGGUGAUGCAUGGUUGGUUUCUCGCCGUUGCUCCGAUGAUCCAAAGGGGCAUUCCGUCAUUAAGGAUCUCCUCCCAGGACAGGACCCUCGUCAUAGGCUGGCCAAUGAUACGACCUGCGAACCUGCAAAACAAGCAGCUCUGCUCUAAUGAGGAAGUAUGCGACCACGACAAAAGAGCUGCACCGUAAUGGCUCGGGGAUUGAUCAUGAUAUGGAGGCUCUCAUGCAAUAAAUGGCUUCAGGGAGAGCUGGAGAUGAGCAUCCCCGGAGUGUGGCUCCCCUUAACGACGCCUCCCCUUUCACCUACAGAAAUGUUAAGUAUGGGCUCGGGAGCACUGAAGCGGUGCGACAUCCGCCUGGCCGUAUUUCAUGCAGAUGGGCAGGUUAAAUAUGCCAGCCACACAUCCGAUGCUGGGCAAUCUUUUUCUCUUCUCCUACCUUAAUCUCGCUCUUUUCAACCCUUCUCUUUCUCUCUUUGUGGUGUCACCGCUUCAAAGCAAUUUCUCCUUUCUUAGCUUUAUCAGCCAUACAUUAAAGGUGACUUCUUAAAGCA
Carassius carassius (crucian carp) is the source of this 644-nucleotide long non-coding RNA. RefSeq lists it as uncharacterized. Lineage: Eukaryota; Metazoa; Chordata; Actinopteri; Cypriniformes; Cyprinidae. The record is from RefSeq and is a predicted model, not a curated record. The transcript is spliced from 2 exons.